CAAAUUUCAUGUAAAAUUUUGGCACAUAAUUAAGAUUCUCAAUUAUUAUAUAAAUGUAAUUUAUCUUGUUUGAAUCACGUGAAGCAAACAAAUUGGCAAAAUGAAACACGAAACGUAAUAAGCGAGAAAGGAAGAGAGAACUUCGUCGAAAUUGAUUUAAAAAAUAAUAAAUGUCAAGGACAGAACGUUCGUCGUUCGUUUAUUUUCUAACACUCGAUGUUUCUACGAACUAACCGACGUGCAGUGGUUAGAUAGUCACGUUGUUAUUCGCGCAAAGUUCGAGCCAGAAAGCAGCGGCACGAUUCUGUAGCGUCCUGUAUCAUUAUGUAUCUCGAAACGUGACGAAGAUCAAGGGAAGGAUGCCAUGCCGCGCAGCUGAUUAACUCCUACAAUUAAUUUCGAUUCGUAAAGGAGACGACGACUUGUCGACGAAAAUUCGCGCGAUUCAUUUUCAUUACUUGAAAGAAUAAAAGGAGACGAGAUUAAAAUUAUUGAUUAUUUGUAUAACACGUAUCACAAAUUCGACUGCACCUCGCAGCAUUCCGAAUUUUUCAUUGAUUUAAAUCUAAUUUGUUCAGCAUUUUUUAUGCGAUCGAGUGCGCGUGGUGUACACGAGAUCCACGUCGAAAGCUUGAAAUAAUGGAAAACCCCCGGACGAGUCAAUAAUACGUGAAUACCAUGAAAUUUAUUUUGUCGAAAAUGUAUCACGCACGUGCGCGUAAUACUGAAUUUCGGUUAGUCCCUUCGCAUUUUAAUUAGCCGUUAAUUUGAUUCUAUUAAUCGCACCGUAUCGUGCAAUAGCAGGGCAAAACUCCCGACUGUAAUUUUUUUGAAACUUGCGAUUAUUAAAUAUCGCGGGGAUAAAGUGAAGGGAUUUCGCCCCCGGCGCAUUUAAUCAAUGCAGUCGUAACGAAAUUUUUUUUUAAUUGCCAAAAUCUCGACGUAUAUCCAUAUUUAUCAAAAAUUUCUGUCGUUCGAAACUUGUUUCAUGUUCAUUCGUAAAAAAUUUCGCAUCGUACCGAGCGUUUAUAGCUUUGUGCGAUUAUAUUUUUCUCAUCUUCUAAUUGCAACAUAAUAAAAUGCGUAUGUCAAGAGUGCUGUAUAUUAGAGCGAUCGUAAUUAAUCGUUUUUUCGUUCAAGUGAUAUUUGCGCGAGUGCAACAAAGUAGUCUGGCAAGAGAGGGGGAGGCUUGGGAGGCAACGGAUAACGAACCAAAGCAAAUAUUUAUUUUUUCCUUCUUUUUUAAAAGCACUUUAUUUGAAAAGAUAUAUUUUUAAAUGAAAUUUAAAAUCUCUGCAUUAUUUUAUCCUUCCGUUUUCAACCAGGAUUUAUAUAAAUCGGGAAAUAUUAUAUAAAUUGAUACAAGAGAAAGCAAUAUUCAGAGAUUGCUUUAAUAUGCGCGCAUCACAAGCGUAAAUCGCGUAUUGUAUUCCAUUUAAUUCAACCUAUUUUUAAUAAUUAAUUAUAUUUCUUCUCGCGUACAAAUAUUUUAUUCUAGCUUUUCAUAAUCCGGCCGUUAAUUAUUACAACAAUUACAAUUUCACAAAAACACGUUCAAAAAUGUUUUUAAUAUUGAAACCUCGUUAAAAAAAAAUAUAUAUAUAUAUAUAAAUGAAAUGCCGUGCAAAAUACGUAUUCCACUCGCGAGGUGAAAUAUUCGCGCCUUAAACGAAAGAAGGGAGAGGCCCCCGGGCUAAUCUAAUCGCAUUCGUCGGCGUGCGCACGUCGUCGUCGGCCUCGCACCGCGCGACUCUCAAAAGGCGUCGAAGGCGCGCACGCCAAAGGUGCAUAUGGUAGAGACGUUGCACCUUGACGACUUCGUUUUCUCUUUAUUUUCGCCGUUUGACUUUCGGGUCGAUCGACGAGAAACCGGCGACGUCCUAAGGUGCAUAUUGCACCGGGUCCGCCUUAAUGGCGGGAUGGCGUGACGGCGACUCGCCGGCGGGAGGGGGAGGGAUGGGAACGAACGGAACGAAACGAAACUCGACGGGAACGCGAUGUCGCGUGUCUCGAACCGUGCGUUUCGCGGUCGCGUGUGUCGCGGAUAUUACACGCGAUCCCCUGGAUCCCGCCGCGUCACCGGGCUUCUAAAUGUCCCGCCGCACGAACGCCGCCCCGCUCUCGAGCCCGCCUCUCACUUGCACUUUUAAUUCCCGCGCGCGAGUCGUCGCCUCUUUGCUCGCCCGAGCCGCGCGACUCUGCAAAAUAGUAACGGGAGUUCGCAAUGCCGAUCUCAAUUCCUCGGCGCGUGAUGUCGAAACGCUUUUUUUUUCCUUUCGAUUCGCUUCGCAGAGUUUGCUUUUCUGUUAUUCUCUCUCUCUCUCUCUUUCUCGUCCGAUAUUUAAUUCCGCAUUGGCUGACAUUUUCCCUAUAUUUUUGCUUUCAAAGUUCAAUACUUUAAUGUGAGAGAGGCAGGUACCGGGUUGAGCUAAAUGGGGGGAAAAAAAAAAACACGUUUCGAUCAUUUCAGUAUCCCUCCAUCAAUAAUUUCCGAGUGAAAAUACGAGGAUUAAAUUCUCAACGUGUACAACUGCGCACACGCCGGAGUAGAAAUGCUGCUAGAUUACCUGGCUCUGCGGCCGGUCGGACCCAGAGGAAUCGAUUCCUAGGGAAUCGACUCGAAUGGACCGUCAUUAAAAUAAUAAGCGGUAGUUUCGGAACACCUUGCGAUUGAUUUUAUCUCGCGGAUUAUCCCGGGGAUUUCAACGAUUUGCUUUUUAAUUUUACAAGACGCAACACAAUGCAGUCUUGUUUUAAUCGGGGGUGGGGUGGGAGGGGGGAAGAGGAAACCGCAGGAUAUCGUUAGAUCUUUUUCUACGGCCCAUCUCUUUUUCCGGUGCGGGCGAGCUAAAUAACGUCGCGAUAUGUCCCAAAGUUAAAAGGCGAAACCCCGUCUUGGGCGAAAAGGGCCGCAAGUUCCCAGCCCGCCUUGCGCACUCUCGCGUAUCUCCCUUCGGUCAGGAACUCUCUGUGAUAGCGCACGUCGACAUGUUCUCCCGUUGCGUGGGAAAGUGCUGCAUAAUGACACGGUCAUUCUUUGCACGUCGGGCGAAGCCAAUACAGCGGAAUACGCGCUGUCGGAAAGUCCAUCAAAAGACGGCGGGUAACUGCACGCGCUCCUCGCCGGCAGGAUUUUCUCUUUACGUUUUACCCCGCGAAUUCUCUCUCUCUCUCUUUCUCUCCCUCUCUUUUCGAUAUUAACGGACGGUAAGUCCGUAGUCCGCGCGUUCCUCGGUAGUCUUCGGUAUAAAAUUACAGAAAUGCAUUAUCCACGCUUCGUCGGCGCGAAUCAGAAAUAAUUCGAUCGUUAAAGCCAGAGUCGUCCGUGGCAGCUCUCUCAUUUCGUUAAUUCGAUCCUCCUCCCCAUUCAUCAGUACGGCACUAUAUCCGGAGCGUGACUUUGACUUCGCUCGCACGUGAAUUAUUAGCGUUAGCGAUUUCGGCCAUUCGUUAACACGUUAAGGAAACAGGAGAACCGUCGCCGCGAGCGCGUUGUUAUCGCGGUUGUUGAUCCGGCAUAACACACGUAAUAAGCAGGUGAGAUUUCGUCAUCGCUCGCAGCCAAACGCUACCUCGGGAUAUUUCUGUCCAGGGAAGCCCCGCGGAAAGACGCCGCCGACGCGUCGAUUCUUUGUUCCCGGUGCCGUUAAGUUGCGCGCCCGCUCCUGGAACACCUGACGUCGCCAGGCGGUCAGGCUGGCAGGCAGCGAGCAGCCAACCAGACAACCAGCCAGCCAGCCAGGCAGCCGGGCAGCCCGCGUCGUACCAUGGCUCUAUAAGGAGGAUCGGUCUCGGCGCGUGAAGUGAAGGAUAAUUUUAUCUCGCCGAGGGAAAACAACGUCCCGUAAAUAGCGUGAAUAGUCGUGCAUUUCGUAGCGUAUACGCCUUGCACAAUCCAACCACGUACUCCAUCAUUACGUGAGAAAUUCAAUUACACAUUACUUUUCGAUCCAAGGUUACCAUACUUUACGGUACACGUUUCUCAAUUGCGAGAUACGCAAUACAUUGUGCGAGGUGGAAAGUGUGAGACAGAAAUAUCACGAGGUGAGGCGGAUUCCUACGUCGGCUAACGUGUUUAUUUCUAAUGAUACUUAUGUAAUGCGCGCUUACUAGUAUAACACGUAGUAUCGGGAUCGUGAUAAAAGUACCUUGCACCAGCCCGUCGCGAUUUUAUUGCGCCAGUUUGUUGCGAUUUUAUUGCAUAAAUGAUUCAUCCUCUACGCCGCAGCUAUCCUAAGAGUCUAUAAAAGCCGCGGUAUAUUGCUGCAGUUAAAUUUCGUCUAGCUACAUAUAAAGCGCGAAAAGAUAAUUCUCUCUCUCUCUUUUCCGGCAAUGACACUUAACAGCGGCGAUAAAAAUCUUCAUUGGUCGAAGGGUAAAUAAAAUUCGAAUGAAAUAAUAAUUGGUAAAAAAAAGGGAAGAAAACUUCGAAACAGGAAAAGUAGCAACACUUUUCACCCGACGACCUCGGCGGGCAAUACACCUCGCUCGCAUUGCGAGCUGCUACAAUAACAUCAAUUUAAUUCCGACGACGCGGCACGGCUCCACCGUGUUCUGUUCGUCCGCGAACGGACCCUCGUUUUAAUACGCGAAGGGAGCUCAUUUUGUGCCCGAGCGAGUCUCUCUCUCUCUCUUUCUCCCCGCAACCGAUUCUCGGCCGUUCGUCCUCAGCGACCACGGCGAAAAGGAAGGAUUCAAGGUCAGCGUGUUCUUCUGCACCGCUGCAACUCGGCGCACUCGGUGCCGGCACCUCGCAUUAUACGCGUCUUUCCGUGGGCACACGUCCGUGCCCUGUCUCUUAUUACGCAUAUCCCUACAGUGCCCUCUUUCAAAGAGUACGUUGUUGAGUGCUGGCUUUAGCAAUUCAAUAUAUAUUUUUUAAUCAUACUUCUCUCUCUCUCUCUCUCUCUCUCUCUCUCUCUCUCUCUCUCUCUCUCUCUCUCUCUAUACUUUAUAGAUAUAUACGUUACAUGGUCCGUAUGAAAAAUUCCCAGAUCGCGCGAUUCUCGAAAUAGUUACUAAGGAAGUUCUCGAGGCCGCGUCUGUUUGAAUAUUUAAGAACGAUUUGUGAGAACGAUACCGCCGAUCCUUGCGAGUCCAAGGUAAAUUCGCGCAUGAGAAUACUUAUAUUAUGACGUCAGAAGAAAUGAGAGAAUCGCGAGAAAAUAUACGUGAUGUAUGCAUGAGUGAUUUCCGCGCGCGAGACAGGAAUUUUUACGUUUCGCGGAACCCGCGUGGCUCCCUCAUUGCCAUCGGCACGAAACUUGCUCCUCGUUUCCACCUUGAUUUGGAGAACCGUGAAGAUUUCGGAAACGAUCCGAGUAGCGCGCGACAGACGCGACUUUCAACGGCAUUGUGAACUCGGAAGGAAGAGCGGUUGCAUUGGCGUAAAGUUAUUUGCCAAUUCGGCUAUAUGGUACAGCACCACCGGUGUACGAUACGCGGCCGACGACGCGUCGCGCGCCCGCGACGAUGAAUAUUUUUCGUGCGCGAGAGCUUCCACGCCACGCGAAAUAAAUAUUUAUAUCGUCGCCGGAACGCCCGCGGUAUCGCGGGAGAUCGUAUCGUUUUCGCCCUCGUUUUUCAUGGAGAGAUGCGCGGCAAUCUCGGCAAUUAACAAAAGCUCCUCCAUGCGUACGUUCUGUGCGUGUUCCACGUGGAAAAAAAAAUAUGUAUAGAGGCUGCAGUCGCGAGUGAAUUUAUCCUCCUAUACGAACGUACAACACUUUUAAAGCGGACAAAACAGGCUUUCGUGAAUGUUUAACUCUUGCAAACCGAAUUUUUCGGAGAUUCCGAGAUUUCCUGAGGAAGAUUUAUGUACAUAGUUGGACGGAAUAAGUCUGAUAAGUUUGAUUUAUCUUGAACUAUGAAUUGCAAUACUUAAUAAGACCGUUUUUAUAUAUUUGAGGAAUUUAUUCGAAGAUCUAAGCAAAUCGCGAGAUUGCGUUCUAAUCGAGCACUCGUUUCGCCGCUACGGCUCAAGGAUCAAAAACUAUUAUUAGAGCUCCAUCGUUGAUUCCGAGUAACCGGUGAAAUUACACGUCGUAGAGAAGAAGCCACUUUUCCACGCUCGAAACUUUUUGUAUAAAUACAUAUGCAUGCAUCUCCCUAUCUCCCUCCCCUUCUCUCCCUCCGCGAAAACGUACUCGUCGAGCUCGAACCUCUCGGUUCGCGGGGUAUCCGCGCUGAGCAAUUUCAGGAGGCGAGAGAGAAAUGCAGAAAGCACUCCCCGCGUGUGCGCGCAACCGAGCGGAGCACUUUUGUCCCGUCGGACAAAUUUCGCACACAUUCGCGUGCGCCGCUGCUCGCGAGCGGACGGCGCGGAGGGCCCUCGUCGCGUGCGAAAGAGCGAGAGCGGUACACACGCGAAACUUUUCUAUCGAUCGGCGGUCGUCCGGCGGCCCGGCUCCGCCGGAGGAGGCGCGGGAAGGGCAGCCACGCUGUCCUCGCGUGUCGAUACCGAUACCGCGCCCUCGCCCUCGGCGUCGUCGCCAAGCGAGCAAGCGAGCGAGCGAGCGACGCUCCGUUGUAGUCGCCGGUGCGCCGAUAAGCCGCUUAUCGCCGCGCCGAGAUACGCGGAGCGUAAGGAUCGGGCUCCACGAAUAAGGACGCGUGCUUACCGGUCGUGCGAUGACGUCCGUAUUACGAUCUCGUCGACGCUUUAGGAUGUAGAAUACGUUGGAUCGUAAGGCUGACGAGCGCGUCCGCGAUAAGCACGUUUCUUUAUUGUAAUGAAGAGAGCUGGUUUUAUUUUAGGUAGCCGUCCUUUGUUUUAGCGACAUUGUGGGAAAUUCUUUACUAAUUAGCGUUUCAAUGCCUGAUGUCGUACUGAUGAGCGAACUUUUACUAAAACUGAAACAACAUAAUUUGCUUUGUCUCCUGUCAGUUAUGCUUUUCUAAUUUUUGUUUAAGUAAAAUUAUUUAAAUUAGAUAUGCGCUUUCAGUUUCUGUUAUGACACAUUUAUUUCAUAUUUAAGUCGAGGGUGUGUAUCCAAUACGGUCGGACUAUCAGAAAAUCGCGAAGUAUUUUAUAUUCUGUGCAAAAAAUUGUGUAAGGCUCGGGUUCCCGACGGUCACACACCGGUUUGGAAACAUGCGGGCACAAAGCCUUAAAAAGGUUCAGAUUUGUUCUUUAUUUCUUCUGAGAAAAUAUCGGCAUUAGUGGCGAGACAUUCGAUCUUUCGCAGUAGGAGGCUUCCCGUUCGUCACUUACGGUCGUUAAAGCGAUCCGAACAAAGCGCAAUAUUAUCGCGAAUGUUUGUGUGUGUGUGUGUGUGUGUGUGUGUGUGUGUUUACGGAGUUGAUCCAUUGUCUCGCGAUUACAAUUUUCUUAGAUAAAGCAAAUUACAAAUGAAAUUAGAUCUUGGAUUAUGGAUACAUUUGUGAACUCAACCAGUAGAUACAAGAAAAAUUUUAGAUAAAUUUUAGCCGCGCGAAUUUGUUGUGUUAAAAUAAUUCAACGAUACAUAAAACUUUCAGGUUUCCUUUCGCGUUUCAUUCGAGAAAAGUGUGCGCUGUCAGGACGCAUAAUUUUCAACCGCGUCUCCGCAUCCGAAUGAGAGAAGACGGGGGAUCAGUUCGCACACGACGAACGAUCCGAUCGUUCUCCCCGCAAGUAGCAAACGUUAUUUUUAAUCACCGCGCGGCUGACGUUUCCCGUAAUUGCGGGAUACUUUGCGAUUCGUGAACCGUGGAAGGCGCCUCUCUUUUUUUCCAGAAAAAACGAGAGAGGGAAGGAGGGAACCGUCGCGGACGGUGCUCGAUGCCGGUCACGUAGACCUCGUAGUUCCGAGGGUGCCCUGAGCACGCCGCGGAAUACUAGAAUACUACAGCGGCGAGAAUGCGCGGCGCAUACCCGCAACGCGCGAGCGGAUAACGCGCGCGCGAGCUCACGGCGAGAGAGAGAGACGACGAGCUCGGAAUUUUCGGUUUCCUCUAUCGGAAUGUACUCCACGUUCGCGCGGCAUGAAACGUUCUCUUUCAGCCCGACGACGUGGGGAUUAAUAUUAUUAACGUAUCCCGUAUAAUCGUGGUAACGUCAUCUGCGUACGGUUAUUCGUAUACGUUAAGGUGCGUACGGUGAAUCCGCGCCUAACAACAACAACAACACGGUAGCGGGCUCCUGAAAGAUCGAGCGACGAGAGGGUAAUCUUUUUCUCGUCGUGAUACACCUCCGCGCAACAUCGCGGUAUCUAAUAUCGCGAUAACCGUGAAAUAUGAUGGACGCGGGAUAUCGCGAAAUUGCGGCUUUAAACUGUCCGUAUAAACGUGAAAAGAUAGAGAAGAGAACGAGCGAGAGAGAGAGAAGACUGCGGUAUCCGAUGAAAUGCACGCCGCAUCAGGUGGAUUUGCAUUUUCCUCGCGAGCGAGAUGACUCGGGCUCCUUCGAAGGAACGUAAAUCUCCCGCGCGAUAACGCCGCGCCGAAGGCACUGUUAUGCAUAUUCACGCGCGCGUGAAUCUAGUAAAAAGCAACACGUAACACGCGGGGAAGAACGAGGCGGAGAGGGAGGAGAGAGAAGGGUGACGAGGGAAACGUUACGUCAGCCGGCGCGCGUAUACGUAAUAUAAUAAAUUCGUAAACGAGCCGAGCGGAAUUCGAAACGGUUCGUCCCAAUGACGACGAAGCGUUUUUCGUAUCUCCUCGUGUAGGUGGAUCCCCUUGAUCUUGACGUGUGGCUGUGACCCCCAUAUGAAUUUUCGCCGCCGAAAGAUCCGCCGCCGCCACCGGAGACUGAGAGCGAGACGAUCGCCUUCGCCUUUGCCUUCGAAACCUGCGGCCGCCACCACGUUCGACGCGUUUUCACCUCGCCCCGGCGAACCAUUACCUCGCCCACGUCGCGAGGCACAAUCGCCUAAAGUCCUCCGAUCGGGUAAAACCGGUUUUGGAUCGCGACCAGUGCUGUAACUACCUACUAUGCGGCCGGAUUUCACGAUCGGAGAGACGAGGCCGCUCUCUCGCGCCUUUUACGAGACCCCGCGCGAGAGAAGAAGAGGAGAGGCUUGCGACGAUAUUCCACGACGAAUUAAACCGCUCCGGAAACGUGACGCGAAUCGCCGAUCGAGCUGAGGGACGAGGAAUAAUUUCGUAAAUCUUCGUCGCAAUCUUCCCUAGGAUCCUCCUCCCCCAACUAUUUCCAACGACAUUUGUUUACGCAGAGGAAAUCCAAGUCCAUGCUCCGAUUUAAAUUUGCCUUCGCGUAUGAGGUGUCAUUACAGCUGAGAAAACAAGACGUAAAUGCAUGUGUAAUGUUACGAAUUGUAAAUAGCAUAAUUAAAUUAAUUGUCGAUUUAUUUUUAGUUGCAUAUAAAAGAAUUGGUAAUAAAUUUCUUGAAUUCAAGUAUUUAUAUGUCUCAGUGAGACUAAAGUAUUUUAUACAUUUAAUUUGAAUGCAUAAACGUUUGAACCGAAGGAAUUUAAUCGCAUUGAAAAAUUCAGUAAGAUUAACAUGUCUCUCUCAGUGCGACACCGGUAAGAUUUCUUCGGCGUAACGAUAGAUAGCUCAAAUGAUAAUUCAAUUGAAAAUUCAGUCUACUACUUCAUGCGACUCUUGCUAUGCGGAGUAACUCGUUUCUGCGGAUAUUACCAUCGACGUUUUACGUGCAUUGUCCCGAGCUCAGCAGAAAGCCUUCUCGAGGCGUGCAGCGAUGGAGAAUUUUUUAUUCAGCAGUGUAUUUGUUCGCUCGUCGAUGAGACGCCGAUAUGCUAGCGAGUGCACGUUGCUGGUGUCAUAAGAUACACCGCGAAGCGGAGCGCAAAGGGUUAACGACAUUCCACGUCGUCGAGAGGAGAGAGAUAGAUAGAUACAUAGAUAGAGAUAGCGAAAGAGAGAGAGAGAGAGAGAGAGAGAGAGAAGAAAGAAGGAGCUGCGCCGUACAGCGCGCUAUUAACCCUUAACCGACUCGGCAACACUCGGUCAUGCACCCCCGAUGCGCUAUACGCCGCGUGCAACCCUCGGCGGAAGCGUCGGUGGCGGUGGCACCGGCGGCGGCGGAUCGAUCGCGCGCGCGUUUCUUCGCGUCUCCGACGUAAAAAUUAGUAUUCCGCUCUCGGCGCCGGCCGCGGCGGGCAGCAGGCACUGCGAAAGCGGAGGGAGGGCGAAGGGGAUGCCGGGAAUAGGAGGCAGAGAACGUCGUGGAGCGUUCCCAGGAACGUCCAACCCCCUUUCUCCUCUUUUCCCUCGUCGUAACUGCGCUCGUAUAAUCCCCUACGUGUAUCUACGCCUCUCCCCUUCGAUUUCCUUCUCUUUCUCUCUCCCUCUCGCUUUAAAGUCCUUCCUCUUUCUCGCGGCUUUCUCGCUUCGCGAAACGACGUUUUACGGAAACGGCACGGCGGCGCGCCGCCCGGGGUAGCACUCCUGAAUAUCGAGAACCGGACCGGGUGUCUUCCCCCCCCUCCCCUCUUUCCCCUCCUUGGCUACGGACGUGGGUCGCAUUCGCGUCCGAGACCGCGAAUGCGGACCGAAUGCCGAUUCGUCCCCGCCACCUCCCUUCCUCCCGGAUUCGCGGUUCGUUUUAAUUGCCGGAGUUCAUCACGGAUCCUUUUCGCGCUCGGAACAGCCUCCGAAUCGCCUUCUUUAUCCGCGGACUCAGCCCGUUCGAUACCCGCCGCUGUUCUUCCUGCCCUUUACACUUUAACGAAGAUACAUUCUUCGCCACGGAACACAGAGCGGCUAUUGAUCCGUUGACACUUUCUCGACAAAGUCGUAAAUACAGAGGCAUCAAAUUAAUUGAUUUUUGUUCUCUUAUUCAGCCUGCAAUAAAUUAAAUUGCAAGUGUAAUAUUAUUAGAAUUCAAUAUUGACAUGUUCCUAAAUAUUUACGUGUUGGGUGUCUAGUUUUUUUUUUCUUAAUUAAGGCGUGACACAAAACAAUUUUCGGAGCGCGAAACAUUGCAUAAAAAAUGCCGGAAUGUCGAUAAAAAAAAUAGAAAAAAAAAAGAAA
This is a long non-coding RNA of Monomorium pharaonis (pharaoh ant), 10942 nucleotides long. RefSeq lists it as uncharacterized. Lineage: Eukaryota; Metazoa; Arthropoda; Insecta; Hymenoptera; Formicidae. The transcript is spliced from 2 exons. The record is from RefSeq and is a predicted model, not a curated record.